Molecule: non-coding RNA, 27 nt
Filed under: Bombyx mori (domestic silkworm)
Lineage: Eukaryota; Metazoa; Arthropoda; Insecta; Lepidoptera; Bombycidae
Source: RNAcentral
UAACUUAGGAAUUUCUGGUAUACUAUU